AUGCCCGAAUCCUGACACAGGGAGGUAGUGACAAGAAAUAACAAUACAGGGCUACUUCUAGUCUUGUAAUUGGAAUGAGUACAACUUACAUCUCUUCACGAGGAUCAAUUGGAGGGCAAGUCUGGUGCCAGCAGCCGCGGUAAUUCCAGCUCCAAUAGCGUAUAUUAAAGUUGUUGCAGUUAAAAAGCUCGUAGUCGGAUUUCGGGUCGGGCCGAGCGGUCUGCCGAUGGGUAUGCACUGUUUGGCGCGGCCUUCUUUCCGGAGACCGCGGCUACUCUUAACUGAGCGGGCGUGGGAGACGGAUCGUUUACUUUGAAAAAAUCAGAGUGUUUCAAGCAGGCAGCUCGCUCUUGCAUGGAUUAGCAUGGGAUAAUUGAAUAGGACUCUGGUGCUAUUUUGUUGGUUUCGAACACCGGAGUAAUGAUUAACAGGGACAGUCAGG
RNAcentral lists this ribosomal RNA (442 nucleotides) under Phaeocystis sp. JD-2012. RNAcentral describes it as "SSU rRNA". It matches the Rfam family "Eukaryotic small subunit ribosomal RNA", at positions 440 to 886 of the family's 1831-position model. The record is from RNAcentral. Lineage: Eukaryota; Haptophyta; Phaeocystales; Phaeocystaceae.